UACGAAGGGGGCUAGCGUUGUUCGGAAUCACUGGGCGUAAAGCGCUCGUAGGCGGAUCUUUAAGUCAGGGGUGAAAUCCCGAGGCUCAACCUCGGAACUGCCUUUGAUACUGGGGGAUCUCGAGUCCGGGAGAGGUGAGUGGAACUGCGAGUGUAGAGGUGAAAUUCGUAGAUAUUCGCAAGAACACCAGUGGCGAAGGCGGCUCACUGGCCCGGUACUGACGCUGAGGAGCGAAAGCGUGGGGAGCAAACAGGG
This 255-nucleotide ribosomal RNA is filed under the name uncultured bacterium. RNAcentral's name for it is "partial 16S ribosomal RNA". It matches the Rfam family "Bacterial small subunit ribosomal RNA", at positions 524 to 777 of the family's 1533-position model. The record is from RNAcentral.